GUGCCAAACCAGGGUUCCAUGGAGCAGAUUACUUUAGGUUAUACAUGGAUUUGUAUUCUAUGGUAUUCGUCAGGUGCCAAACCAGGAUUCCAUGGAGCAGGUUACUUUAGGUUGUACAUGGAUUUGUAUUCUAUGGUAUUCAUUUGGUGCCAAACCAGGAUUCCAUGGAGCAGAUUACUUUAGGUUGUACAUGGAUUUGUAUUCUAUGGUAUUCGUAUGAUGCCAAACAAGGAUUCCAUGGAGCAGGUUACUUUAGGUUGUACAUGGAUUUGUAUUCUAUGGUAUUCGUUUGGUGCCGAAACAGGAUUCCAUGGAGCAGGUUACUUUAGGUUGUACAUGGAUUUGUAUUGUAUGGUAUUCCUUUGGUGCCGAAACAGGGUCCCAUGGAGCAGGUUACUUUAGGUUGUACACGAAUUGGUA
Molecule: long non-coding RNA, 420 nt
Filed under: Mytilus galloprovincialis (Mediterranean mussel)
Lineage: Eukaryota; Metazoa; Mollusca; Bivalvia; Mytilida; Mytilidae
Source: RNAcentral